GCAAGCCAGCAAAACAUAAAAAUAUCCCGACAGAUCUAUACUGCUUGCAGCUGUGGGGCGAGCUGAAGAACAGUUCAUUGUGAUCUGGAUAAAAAAGCAGUCAGGGAAAACUACGGGUCAGACUCAAGCUGUGAGUCAACAUACACGUAGAGGGUAAUGUGCUCAUCGUCUGUCCUCUGUGUUUGUGGCCUCGUGAGGUACUUCUGAAGGCCCGGAGCCAGUCAACAUGGGAAGAACACUGGGAUCUGAAUGGGAUUUAGGCUGGGUGCCUCUUUUUAAUGAAGUGGUGGACUCAGCUCCUGUGGGCAAAUCAUCAUUGAUAAGGAGAGACAAAGAGACACACCGUAUGUGAAUUUUCAACCGUCUUCACAGAAAAGAACUUCCAUCAAUACCUUAAACAGAAGUUGACUGGAAGGAAGCCACAGCAGUAUGUUAAGAGCUUUCACUGGGGCAGGUCUGAAAGACACAACAAAAAUGUUUCAUUUGGAAAAUACCAUGAGGACCUGCUGUAGGACUGCCAAAGUAAACCGUUUCAUUCUGGAGGAGGUCGAAGUGAAACAUCUGUCAGUCUAGUCAUCUUUGUGUCCUUCCACUGAAAAAUGGAGCCGAGGGGAAGGUACAGUUCAGCAAGAAAAGAAAAGGAAAUUCUCUCCCUUCUCUUAACUGUUUCUGAAAACCGAGCCAUCAUACUGAAGAGCCUGACUCGCAGACUUAGUGGGAAUUAUGCCUAAGCCAGGUAGCAAGAAAAGUUCCAUGGAAGACAACUUCCAAGUCAAACAAUUUCUGUAGGUCUGGGUUUGAAAUCCUCACCCUGGAAGUCUUAACUUCAGCCUUAACAUCAGCUAACUCAGUUUCUGGUCUUAUUAAAACAACAUGAGAAGGAAAAAAACCAGGCACCUCCCUCUCACUGCUGCAAUGUAAGUUAAUUCCAGUACUGUAAACACCCUAGGGUUACAUUCAUGUAACUUAAAUACCAAUAAGGGAAAUAAAAAAGCCUACAAUUAGUGAAUAGCUUUUUCUAAAAAAAGGUGAUUUUAUUGAGUUUUAAUAUACAGCUUUAAUAUGUUAGGGUAAUCAUACAAGAUCUCUCGUGUUCAAUUUACACAUUACAAUACAGACGUGAGCUAAAAUCUUUUGUUUUAAUGUACAAAAGGAAUCCAAUGUUGUCCACUAGCAGCUUUGAACUUGGCAAGAAAGGUUCUAGAGACUUUAAGUGCAGUAACAAC
RNAcentral lists this long non-coding RNA (1226 nucleotides) under Gallus gallus (chicken). The record is from RNAcentral. Lineage: Eukaryota; Metazoa; Chordata; Aves; Galliformes; Phasianidae.